RNAcentral lists this ribosomal RNA (502 nucleotides) under uncultured bacterium. Its description in RNAcentral is "partial 16S ribosomal RNA". It matches the Rfam family "Bacterial small subunit ribosomal RNA", at positions 28 to 507 of the family's 1533-position model. The record is from RNAcentral.
GACGAACGCUGGCGGCGUGCUUAACACAUGCAAGUCGAACGGUGAAGGGGUCUGCUUUUGUGGGCCCUGGAUGAGUGGCGAACGGGUGAGUAACACGUGAGUAACCUGCCCCCUUCUUCUGGAUAACCGCAUGAAAGUGUGGCUAAUACGGGAUAUUCUGGGUCUGUCGCAUGAUGGGUCUGGGAAAGAUUGCGCCUUUGGGUGUUUUUGGUGGGGGAUGGGCUCGCGGCCUAUCAGCUUGUUGGUGGGGUGAUGGCCUACCAAGGCGGUGACGGGUAGCCGGCCGGAGAGGGUGGACGGUCACACUGGGACUGAGACACGGCCCAGACUGCUACGGGAGGCAGCAGUGGGGAAUAUUGCACAAUGGGCGCAAGCCUGAUGCAGCGACGCCGCGUGAGGGAUGGAGGCCUUCGGGUUGUAAACCUCUUUCGCCAGUGAAGCAGGCCUGCUCCUUGUGGGUGGGUUGACGGUAGCUGGAUAAGAAGCGCCGGCUAACUACGUG